UCUUCAAAUGAUGAUCCCAAGCCUUCUGGCAAUCUGCUCCUCAUAAAUAUUUGAAUAAAUAUUUUAAGAGAGGAACU
This 77-nucleotide transfer RNA is filed under the name Bartonella bacilliformis. RNAcentral's name for it is "tRNA-Ile". Lineage: Bacteria; Pseudomonadati; Pseudomonadota; Alphaproteobacteria; Hyphomicrobiales; Bartonellaceae. The record is from RNAcentral.